This 253-nucleotide ribosomal RNA is filed under the name uncultured bacterium. Its description in RNAcentral is "partial 16S ribosomal RNA". It matches the Rfam family "Bacterial small subunit ribosomal RNA", at positions 524 to 776 of the family's 1533-position model. The record is from RNAcentral.
GACGAACCGUACAAACGUUAUUCGGAAUCACUGGGCUUAAAGGGUGCGUAGGCGGCUCGGAAAGUAGGGUGUGAAAUCCCUCGGCUCAACCGAGGAAUUGCGCCCUAAACUACCGUGCUCGAGGGAGAUAGAGGUGAGCGGAACUUAGGGUGGAGCGGUGAAAUGCGUUGAUAUCCUAAGGAACACCGGUGGCGAAAGUGGCUCACUGGAUCUCUUCUGACGCUGAGGCACGAAAGCUAGGGUAGCGAACGGG